GGGUGCGCUCGUCCCGUUGUCGCCGCCGCAUUUGUCCACGGAGGAACUUUGCCUGGGAGAAAGCUCCCGGCCGGUGAGUGCGGCCGCUCCUUUUAGUGCGCCGGCACUGCUCCUCCCUGUACACCCACCACACUUCCCCGCCGCGCCGCUCUCGCUUCGCCCACGCUGCCCUCUCCUCCUCGUCUCGUCCGCCCGGUCGCUGCGCCGUACAUCCACCGUCCGCCGUCGUCCGUGCCAACCGCUUUCUCGGCAUCGUCGACGGCCGGCGGCGUUGCUCCAUAGCGACGUCCUACCGUGAGUUCGGUUGAGGUCGUCGCCCCGUUGAGGUUGCUGCCCAAAGGCUGUUGCUAUUUCUCUGGUAGAUUUAGGAUUCUGUUGUGCUAGGGCAACCCGCCAGGACUGGUCUCUGCCCUGCCGAGCCCGUGGUAUAUGCUCUCAGUGAUUACAGGUCGUCCGUCUGCUGGGAUUGCCGCGUCUGGUGCCCGCGGCUGCUUCGUUUGGCCUGUUGUUCGAUUCGUCUCGUGGUUAUUUGGUAUUGUGAGUUUUUGCUGGGAUUCCUUUCUCAGGGCCACAUGAAUGUUGAGUGGUGCAACAAAGAUCAGGUGAUGAACUACUUGUUCAAGUAUGUUACAGAAGGUCCAGAUUGCUCGAAGCUAUAUUUAAAGAGGAUUAGAGGCAAAGGUGUUCCUGUAAGUAGUGAUGGUCUGACUUUGGCUCAGACUGUCAUGUCUGCUCAGGGCACCUCUGCAGCCACUGCCACUGAUAUUUUGGAUGCUCCGGCUUCUUCUUACAUGCCUACUUCUACGGCGCAACCAGCAGUGGCCUCAGCCGGAUGGAGUGGGAAAGAAGAAGAAGGUCUGACCUAGAGAGACAGAAGUGGUGCCUCUAGGCGACGGAGGCCUUACCUACCAUGGGAUUUGAGGGUUAUGUCACUCCCUUUUGUAGUGGUCGUGUACAUACGAACCAGUUUCCUGCUGCAACAGUUCUCUUGUGCGUGUUGUCUGGAUGGCUGUUCUACCCUUCGGUGACAUUAGCUCUAUGCACCUGCUUUUCGUUCACUCUAUUGGCAGCUACUUAUGCACUUUGGUUCAUUGUGUGAUCCUGUGUGAAUCCUCUGCUCUUAUUAUUAGUAGUAAGUAUGUGCUUCACCUACCUGCCUGGAGCAAGACUUUGUAAGUUCCUGAACGUAUCUAUGUCUAUGAAAAAAAGACUUGGCCUAUGUGUAAUAAGCGAUGGCUGAUGUUGCUGCUAGGAGCAUUGCUUUUGGGUUUUCCUAUUCUUGAUUUUGGGCUACUCUUUAGUUCUUUCAGCUUUCCCCAUCCGGUGUAACAAUCAAAGAGAGGUAUUUGUUGUUUU
This is a non-coding RNA of Lolium perenne, 1356 nucleotides long. Lineage: Eukaryota; Viridiplantae; Streptophyta; Magnoliopsida; Poales; Poaceae. The record is from RefSeq and is a predicted model, not a curated record.